GGUGAGAUGGCUCAGUGGUUAAGAGCACUGACUGUUCUUCCGAAGGUCCUAAGUUCAAAUCUCAGUAACCA
RNAcentral lists this transfer RNA (71 nucleotides) under Mus musculus (house mouse). RNAcentral describes it as "tRNA-Asn". The record is from RNAcentral. Lineage: Eukaryota; Metazoa; Chordata; Mammalia; Rodentia; Muridae.